GCGGCGGUAGCUCAAUGGUAGAGCCUUAGCCUUCCAAGCUAAUGAUGCGAGUUCGAUUCUCGUCCGCCGCU
Molecule: transfer RNA, 71 nt
Filed under: Solirubrobacterales bacterium
Lineage: Bacteria; Bacillati; Actinomycetota; Thermoleophilia; Solirubrobacterales
Also listed under: 2 other names
Description: tRNA-Gly
Rfam family: tRNA
About the family: Transfer RNA (tRNA) molecules are approximately 80 nucleotides in length.
Source: RNAcentral